ACAAAUGCCUAAAUUGUCUGCUCAAGAGAAGGGACGCACAAGCAGACUGUGUCAGAUUAUCACCGGAAACGUCAGAAGACAUAAAAAAGGAUCGACUGCAAGGCAAAGAUUUGAGUCAAAAAGAGGAAGGAUGGCAAAUUUGUGAUAGAAAUGGUUGAACUCAACCACAAUCACAAGAUGCUGGAAAGCCCCAGGACGCUUUUGCACAUGCGAUCGCACAAAAAAGACGAUCCUUUGAUGGACCAGUUAGUGAAAGACAUGCAACUGGACAACCACACACACGCUUAGAUGAUGUCAACACUACCGCGUAUGUCCGGUGGUCUGAAGUACAUGGGACAUACUAGCCGCGACGGGGUAAACAAGAAACAAAAGUUUGCCAGAGAAGAGUCCCAAGAUGACGUCAAUAAACUUCUGGAUUUCUUCGAGAAUAUGCAGAAGAUAAACCCAGAGUUCUUAUAUGAUUAUGACGUUGAUGCAGAUAACCGUGUAAGAAACGUCUUUUGGGCCAACGCAAGUUGCAAAGGAUCGUAUGAUGAUUUUGGAGGCUGCGUUACAUUUGACACGAUAUAUCAAACUAACAAAUUCCACAUGCCAUUGGGAGUCUUCGUGGGAGUGAACCAUCAUCUACAGAGCACCAUAUUUGUUGUUGCACUCGUGCGAUAUGAAACAAUACCGUCGUUCAAGUGGGACCAGUGUUCUUCGAUGAAGGCAGCAUUAAAAACUAUCCUCCCACAUACUCUGCAUAAGUUGUGUCGGUGGCAUAUCAUGAAGAAGCACAAAGACCACCUCGCCUUGAUGUAUAAGGCGCACGAGAAACUUAAGGAUGACCUCAAUGCGGUGCUGAACCACCCACUAAUGCCGUCAGAAUUUGAACGAGCACGGAAGGACCUCAUUCAGAGAUACAACUUGCAAGACGAUGAAGUGAUGAAUUCGUUGUGGGAAGACAGGCACGAGUGGAUCUUGGCUUACUACAAGGAAAUUUUUUGUGCUCGGAUGACUUCCACACAAAGAAGCGAGAGCAUGAACCGCAUACUGAAGAAAAAUUUUGUCAAAGAGAAGCAUGAUCUCCAUCUGUUUGCUCAGCAGGUGGACAAGUGCAUUCAGGCCAGGAAGGCCGUCGAGAAUGCAGAGACAGUAGCAAAUGAGUCAGAGGUAAAGACAACAACCCAGUUUGGGUUCGAAGUUCAACUAUCAAAAGUGUAUACAAGGGCAGUGUUUACAGAUUUCAAAGAAACACUCUACCGUAGCACUGCAUCCAGAGCAGAACGGUGCCCUGAGAACCCGACAAAGUAUCUCGUACACCACUACAAUAGAUCGGAUGCAUUUGACUGGGCAAGGCAUAAUUUCCAAGUGGUCGCCGAUGAACAGAAAGGUGUCUACGAAUGUGAAUGCAAACUCUGGACACAAACAGGUGAAACUCCUAUCACAAAAAAUUCUAGUUUCUGA
This 1446-nucleotide ribosomal RNA is filed under the name Triticum aestivum (bread wheat). RNAcentral describes it as "partial small subunit ribosomal RNA". The record is from RNAcentral. Lineage: Eukaryota; Viridiplantae; Streptophyta; Magnoliopsida; Poales; Poaceae.